This is a small nucleolar RNA of Camelus dromedarius (Arabian camel), 70 nucleotides long. Its record names the gene SNORD82. It matches the Rfam family "Small nucleolar RNA SNORD82". Rfam says of the family: snoRNA U82 or Z25 is found in both humans and mice. U82/Z25 is a member of the C/D class of snoRNA which contain C (UGAUGA) and D (CUGA) box motifs. The record is from Ensembl. NCBI's taxonomy places the organism in Eukaryota, Metazoa, Chordata, Mammalia, Artiodactyla, Camelidae.
AGCACAAAUGAUGAACAACACAGGGACUUAAUACUGAACCCUGAUGUUACAUUGCAAUGUGCUGAUGUGC